UUGAAUAAAUGUCAAAUGCAGAAAAACCAAAAUGAAAAUGAAACAAAACCCCCUGAUAGCAUCACCUUUUUAGCAAUGUUUAUUUGAAACAAAAGCAAGAAACCUCUAAAGUGUAAAACAAGAGAACUGAUUUUGAUCCAGAACAGUAACGUGAAAGGGGCUCUGCUGUUCUGUAAACUGGAUUAAGUGUGUCCAGGACCAGCUCUGUCAGCAGCACCGAUUCCUAGUCCCUCUCCCUCUCCCGAGCAGGCAGUGCCGGCAAAGAUAGUUCUUGUGCGAAGGAAAUGGGAACCACUUGCCUAGUUACCAAAAUCUGUUGUCUGCGAAACUUUCUACCCGCCCGAGAGGAAGUUCUGCAUGCAAGGCCGCACGCAAGCAUAGACAUGAUGGUUCCAGUGCCUCUUCAAGAGCAACUCCCCAUCCCUUAGAUGCUCUGGACUGUGCUGUUCAGCCCUGGGAUGCAGGAAGGAUGCAGGUUUGUGGGGUCUGCACUGGAUGAGGGUCAUAUUGGUGAAUUUUGGUCUUCAAGAAAAGGAAAGACCAAUACGUGGCAAGAACCAAGUAUAGAGCAGUAGGCAUCACGAACUUUUGAUUAGAAACUGGUCAGACAUUCCCAGAGUGGUUGAGAGCCUGUCAAGGUCACUGCCAAGGACAAGAGAGUCAAUUAGUAUGCAGAUCAGAGCCAAGGAGUUCAAAGGAGAUGCUCAAUAAAAUCCUGAGAGCUGGAAACACUGGAAAAGCCUGAGUCUCCACAAGAGGAAAAUCUAUAAAGUGAAAUUGUUAAACAGAACUGGACAAAUGAAAGCAUUAAGGGUGCAGACACUCAGAAGUAAUCAGGAAGGAGGAGAAGGUGAAGUGACUCACCCAAGAUCAUGCAGAGAGUCAGUGGCAGAGCCGGCAUUUCAUACACAGCAGUUUUAACUCCCAGCCUCCUUCUGUAACUGCUGCACCAGAUUGGGUGCUAAAAUGACUAACUGCAAGGGUGAUAGCAUUCCAGAGGGAGCAAUAUUCUGGGAACGGCGCUGUCUGGCUGAGGCAGUAAGAUCGAAAUGAUGGCAACAUCACUCACUCGCCUACAGGAAGUCAGGAAAGGGCUACAUCGCUCCCAGAAAUGCUGCUUUCAGAAAUGAUAAUGUCAAAAGGAAUGGCAGCCUGUGCGGGUGCCCCCCUGGCAGUAAGGAAUGUGUUGGUGCACUACCUGAAGAGCAAUAGUACGCAGCAUUAAAAAUGGACCCAUCUGAAGGAACAGGAAGAGCUGCCCUACAGAGGAACAGAGUGUGAAGAGACAGAGUUUGUCCCAGUAGGGACACUGUUUGCCCUGAGGCCCCUGUGAGAGCCCUGCAGAAGCAGCAGUGAGAGGCUGUACUGAGAGUGCUGCACUGUGUCUGUUCUCCCUCCCUUCCCCUCGGACCCCUGCCAGGGCAGGACAAGAGAGAAGCUGCCUUUGAAGAGACUCCGAGCCUGGGAAGACCAUCCUGCAAGCCCCUGUGUGGCUGGGUGAGCACAGCAGGGGAGGGGGAUGCAGGGCCAGGGGGAGACUGCUGGAGACUGCCCUGGUGUUUCCCUGUGAGUGAGAAGGCAUUGGGGAGGGGCAGGCUCAGGGAGUUGGGGGAGCCCUGGGCUAGAGGGGCAGGGACUGCUUCGGCCACCAGAAGCCUCAGGGCAGGCAGGGCCCAGGGAGGGGCUGCAUUUGCUGGGUGCCGUGAGGCUAUGCUGGGCAGGGGAAACUGUUGCAAUCUACAGCCCAGACACUGCUCCCUGCUGUGCCAGGGAUGGGGGUCUGGGCAGAGAUAAGCUUUCUUGCAGGGACCGCAAGGGAGGAGCCACCGCCUGUUGCACAGAGACCCCUGGAGCUUGUGAGAGGGACAUCAGCAGCAGGGACCACCCACAGCUCCUGUGCCAGGGACACAGAUGCAGCCCUGCUUUCUGAGACACCCUACCAGGGGCAGUGCACACAGGGUCCUCAGUACACAGUGUACAAGUUAUAGACUGUGUAAAUAAGUUCUUGAUGGUUUAUUAGUUGGAGUAUCAAUGUAUUUAUUUAUUGGUUCCUUAUUUAUUGUGGGUAAUUUGUACACCUUCCCCUCAUGUAAUGUGUAUCCAAGAAGCAUUUACCUUUAAGCCACCAUCGCCAGGUCAUGCAGUAUAACAUUUGUUUUAUUGUACUGAUUAUAUGUUACCUUGUAAAUAAUUAAAUCCUGUAAAUUGCUUUAUAA
Long non-coding RNA from Alligator mississippiensis (American alligator), 2216 nucleotides. RefSeq lists it as uncharacterized. The transcript has 8 exons. NCBI's taxonomy places the organism in Eukaryota, Metazoa, Chordata, Crocodylia, Alligatoridae. The record is from RefSeq and is a predicted model, not a curated record.